GAUGAAGAACGUAGCGAAAUGCGAUAAGUAAUGUGAAUUGCAGAAUUCCGUGAAUCAUCGAAUCUUUGAACGCAUAUUGCGCCCUCUGGUAUUCCGGAGGGCAUGCCUGUCCGAGCGUCAUUUCAACCCUCAGGGCCCGCCUGCUUCGGCAGGCGCGGCGCUGGUGUUGGGGAUCGGCCUAACCGCCGUCCCCCAAAUACAGUGGCGGUCUCGCUGCAGCCUCCCCUGCGUAGUAGCAACACUCGCAUGCGGAGCGCGGCGCGGCCACGCCGUAAAACCCCCGACUUUCUGAACGUUGACCUCGGAUCAGGUAGGAAUACCCGCUGAACUUAAGCAUAUCAAUAAGCGGAGGA
This 353-nucleotide unclassified non-coding RNA is filed under the name soil metagenome. RNAcentral's name for it is "partial contains 5.8S ribosomal RNA, internal transcribed spacer 2, and large subunit ribosomal RNA". The stretch from base 1 to 120 matches the Rfam family "5.8S ribosomal RNA", at positions 35 to 154 of the family's 154-position model. The record is from RNAcentral.